Molecule: long non-coding RNA, 718 nt
Filed under: Numida meleagris (helmeted guineafowl)
Lineage: Eukaryota; Metazoa; Chordata; Aves; Galliformes; Numididae
Description: lncRNA (ENSNMEG00000015500.1)
Source: RNAcentral
AUGCACUACACAAGUUUGCCCCAUACAUUAUCAAGUGUCAAUAAUGGAUUAUUUCAUGAUAGUAUAGAAACCAGCACUUCAGUUCUGCACUGGGAUUCCCACCCUUGCAAGGGCAAACAUCAGUAUGUUUGUACUAUAAGCCUAAUGUUUACAGAUCUGCUGCUAAGAAGGGACACAUAUUAUGCUUUUAAAGUCAUGUUUUUGGCAUCCUGCAGUUUAUACAUCAAUGUAACGUAAAAGCUAAAAAGAAAAAAUGAACUAAUCCAGCUACUGCUGAAACAUAUACCUAACCCAACCCAACUUGCAUGCUGAAUCCUACCAGAAGGAAAAGAGUAAGCAGCCUAAGAAAUGGAAAACCUUCUAAGGAAGAAGAGUUGAGAUUGCAAGUACAGUGCUACUAUUCUGCAAAGCCUUUUAAAGCCAUUUAUACAACUAUGACUGAGUAAUUAAUGUUACCACAAAGCUUUCUCCAGCUCCACACUGUAUACAUGAUUCCCCUUUCAAAAUGUAGUCAUGUAAGCUAAAGUUUACCAUCACAGCUCUGUUCUGCAGCAGCUAGAUAACACACUUUUAAUCUUUGGCAAGAGUUAGAGCUGAAGAGGACUCCUGCAACAGAACAGCCAGAAUGCUACACCACAAUUACAUGACACAACAUUGGGGACUGAGAACUGCCUUGGGUUUGGGAAAUUUUAUGUAAAUAAAAGAUUUCUCUUGAACA